GUCGAGAAUCUUUCACAAUGGGGGCAACCCUGAUGGAGCGACGCCGCGUGGAGGAUAAGGUCUUCGGAUUGUAAACUCCUGUCAUGCGUGAACAAGGUUGCUUGGUUAAUACCUGGGCAAAUUGAUGGUAACGCAAGAGGAAGAGACGGCUAACUCUGUGCCAGCAGCCGCGGUAAUACAGAGGUCUCAAGCGUUGUUCGGAAUCACUGGGCGUAAAGGGUGCGUAGGUGGCGUGGUAAGUCAGAUGUGAAAGCCCGGGGCUCAAACUCGUAACUGCAUCCGAUACUGCCAUGCUAGAGUACUGGAGAGGUGACUAGAAUUCUCGGUGUAGCAGUGAAAUGCGUAGAUAUCGAGAGGAAUACCAAAGGCGUAGGCAGGUCACUGGACAGUUACUGACACUGAGGCACGAAGGCCAGGGGAGCGAACGGGAUUAGAUACCCGGGUAGUCC
Molecule: ribosomal RNA, 449 nt
Filed under: uncultured bacterium
Lineage: Bacteria
Description: partial 16S ribosomal RNA
Rfam family: Bacterial small subunit ribosomal RNA
Source: RNAcentral